RNAcentral lists this non-coding RNA (45 nucleotides) under Trichobilharzia regenti. Lineage: Eukaryota; Metazoa; Platyhelminthes; Trematoda; Strigeidida; Schistosomatidae. The record is from RNAcentral.
AUCUAGAUGACGAGUUCCAAAUAGGACGAAAUGCGCAUCCUGGAU